CACCCCCGGGGGCACCGGUGGCCAGGUACCGAGCUGUGCGCCCGGCGAAGGGGGGCCGGGCCUGUCUUGGCUUCUAAAGCUUAGUUUAAGCGUUCCAGAUUUUUCUCUUUUGGCGUACUUCUGUUUUAAGAACUCCUGAAGCACACCGGCCGAACAACCAGCCAGCCCUUCUUAGUCCUAAGGUCAAGACCAGGGACCCUCCCUUGGCGAGGCUUAAAUCUCAAUCAAGAAGGACUCUGAAGGAAAUUCAGAGUCUUUUUAUCCUUGUCCCAAUGACACUGAUUCUUUCUUUCUGUUGCAAGUUAAUCUUUGGUGAUGAGGAAAAGUAAGGAGGUGUAUGACCUACUUUCAUUAUAGAGAAAGCAGCUGACUAGGGAAAAUGCAGCUGAUUGGAGAAGGAAGGAAACGUUGGUAACAAAGAACAUUCUUGAGAGUGAUAUUCCGCAUUUGCAACAUUAAAACAGACACUGUAUAUAGCAUCUCAUUUCUCCCCGCCCCCACCCAGCCGGGAAACAUGCCUGAAGGUAACAAGGGAUUUGUCACAGAAGCUCGCCACUGAAGUGCCUGGGGGUUUGAAGCCAGGCGACACUGGAGACCCGUCUCCAGGGAGGCAAAGACUGCCUUCACUAUUGGAGCCAGACCGUUGACUGUGGUGCGAAAGCCCUGGUCUCUGCACACGGGAAAGGGUUUCCAAGCAUGGUCUUGUAGGAUGUUCAUACCUGCUGUUAUGGACUGAAUGUUUGUGUCUCCCCAAAACUCACAGGCUAAAUCUCUCACCCCCAGUGUGAUAGGAGUUGCGGGUGGGGCCUUUGAGAGGUAAUUAGGUUCAGAUGAGGUCUCGAGGGCUGGGCCCCUUGAUGAGAUUAGUGCCCUUUUAAGAAGAGAAAGAGAGACUUGAGCCUUUUCUUGGUCCGCCAUGUGAGGACAGCGUGAGAAGACAGCCAUCUGCAAGCCAGAAGAGGGUCCUCAUGGAGAAACUUAAUCAACUGGCACCUGGAUCUUGAAGUUCCCAGACUCUAGAUCUAAACUAAAUAAACCAAAUAAACAAAUUCCUGUUGUUUAAGCCACUGGGUCAAUGGUAUUCAGUUACUGUAGCCUGAGCUGACUAGGACAACUGCAUACUUUAACGCUACUCUGACAUCGAAAUUUUGACUUAUUCCUCUUAGCCCUUUACUCAGCGUUACUGUUUGAUUUGGGCCCGUUCUUGCCUGUGACCUAGACAGCCUGUCAGGUCAAAAGUCCUCAUGCUAUUCCGUGGAAACGGUUACUCCUCCAACAUCUCCGAGUUCAAAGAUUGAAUCCCGGGAGAUUCCCCUAACCAGGAGUAGUUAGUGUUUUUGUUUUGUUUUGUUUUAAAUUGCAUUUCCUUGAUAAUUUAUUCAUUGCACUUAAUCGCCAACACUAUAUUAAAAUAAUUUCUUUUCC
Felis catus (domestic cat) is the source of this 1425-nucleotide long non-coding RNA. RefSeq lists it as uncharacterized. The transcript has 2 exons. The record is from RefSeq and is a predicted model, not a curated record. NCBI's taxonomy places the organism in Eukaryota, Metazoa, Chordata, Mammalia, Carnivora, Felidae.